UACGGGGGGGGCAAGCGUUGUUCGGAAUUACUGGGCGUAAAGGGCUCGUAGGUGGCCAACUAAGUCAGACGUGAAAUCCCUCAGCUUAACUGGGGAACUGCGUCUGAUACUGGAUGGCUUGAGUUUGGGAGAGGGAUGCGGAAUUCUCGGUGUAGAGGUGAAAUUCGUAGAUAUCGAGAGGAACACCGGUGGCGAAGGCGGCUAUCUGGACAGAAACUGACGCUGAGACGCGAAAGCGUGGGGAGCAAACAGG
RNAcentral lists this ribosomal RNA (253 nucleotides) under uncultured bacterium. RNAcentral describes it as "partial 16S ribosomal RNA". It matches the Rfam family "Bacterial small subunit ribosomal RNA", at positions 524 to 776 of the family's 1533-position model. The record is from RNAcentral.